UACGUAGGGACCAAGCGUUGCUCGGAAUUACUGGGCGUAAAGCGCACGUAGGCGGCUUUCUAAGUCAGGGGUGAAAUCCUGGAGCUCAACUCCAGAACUGCCUUUGAUACUGAAGAUCUUGAGUUCGGGAGAGGUGAGUGGAACUACGAGUGUAGAGGUGAAAUUCGUAGAUAUUCGCAAGAACACCAGUGGCGAAGGCGGCUCACUGGCCCGAUACUGACGCUGAGGCACGAAAGCGUGGGGAGCAAACAGGG
RNAcentral lists this ribosomal RNA (254 nucleotides) under uncultured bacterium. RNAcentral describes it as "partial 16S ribosomal RNA". It matches the Rfam family "Bacterial small subunit ribosomal RNA", at positions 524 to 777 of the family's 1533-position model. The record is from RNAcentral.